UACGGAGGGGGCAAGCGUUGUUCGGAAUUACUGGGCGUAAAGGGUUCGUAGGCGGCCAACUAAGUCGGACGUGAAAUCCCCAGGCUCAACCUGGGAACUGCGUCCGAUACUGGAUGGCUUGAAUUCGGGAGAGGGAUGCGGAAUUCCAGGUGUAGCGGUGAAAUGCGUAGAUAUCUGGAGGAACACCGGUGGCGAAGGCGGCAUCCUGGACCAACACUGACACUGAGGAGCGAAAGCCAGGGGAGCAAACGGG
RNAcentral lists this ribosomal RNA (253 nucleotides) under uncultured bacterium. RNAcentral's name for it is "partial 16S ribosomal RNA". It matches the Rfam family "Bacterial small subunit ribosomal RNA", at positions 524 to 776 of the family's 1533-position model. The record is from RNAcentral.